UCGCCACUUGGCAUAAAUCGGGCGUGCCAAGUCAUCCGUGGAUAUCCUUUUUCAAAAUAGUUUUGACUUUAUAAAACGGAUCCGUGAAUAGAGAUUCCGGUUAAGGAAUUUUGUUGACCGAGGGGAAGGUGUUAGGCACCCCUCGAUCCCGUGGUUUGACCACGGUCGCUUGGUAGAACAUAUCAGUUAAUUUGACACUAAGAAUGUAUAAACCACACAAAAUACAUAAACAAGCAUCCAAACACACGAAACAAAAUCAAUCCAAAGUAUAGUGUUCAGUCCAAUUAUACAGUCCAAAAUAAAUAAAAUGUGAAAAUAAAUGCUAUCUAACCUGCACUAAUCCUAACUAUGCGCCCGUGUUUUACGUGACACCUCGGGCCUUCAUCACGAACGUCUUUCACCAACAUAAUAUGUCGGGGCAUUCCCCAGUAAAUUAAGCAGUUGCCACUGAACCAACAUAAACCAAUAUUUACUUUUAAGAAUUUUCAAUCUUUUUCCCCAAAAUCCAACUUAACCCCAAAUCAACUAUGUAAUCACAUGCUUCGAUUAUUCAUUCACUUUUCAAAGUCCAAAACCAACAUCAACCAACACACACAAAUAUUCAAACAUACCAAACAACAAAUUAUUCACAUUCAUGUAAAAAUUAAAGGGAGAGAAGAGAGAAUUGGACCUCAAUGCCGCUUUUAAUAUAUCGAAUAUAGAACCGUGUCCAAAAAAACCUCAAUUCAAACAGAUUUAAAAUCAGUUGAAAAACCUUAAUACUAAUUCCAAAUCACGAAUUUUGAACCGACCGUAUGUGAAUCUCACCGGAGAUCGGAGUAGGGUUGUUGCUUCUGCCUCACCAGAGAUACGAUAGACUCGACAGUCACAAAAUGAUGUUUCCCCAACUAGACUUCACCAGAAAAACUAGAGAACAGAGGGGUUUAGGGAUUUAGGAUGGGUGCGAGUGACUAGGUUCAGCAAAAACUCCGAUUUCGGCGAAAGACUCGCUAAAAACCCCCAAAAGCAGUCGGCCUCCACAUUGUUUUCUCUCUCUUUCUCCUCCGAUUCACUAUUGCAUCUCUCCUGUAAACUAAAAAGGAAGGAGAGAAGAUGAAGAUCUGUGGCCUCCUCCCCUUUUCUUUCUCUGUGUGUAUAUGUGCUAAGAGUGUGUGGAAUUGUUGAUGGUGAGGGUCAGUCUGUGUGCGUUUUUUGCGUGCUCUGUUAAUGAAAAUGUGAGUCUGUUGUACUAUAUUCAAUUCCAAAAUGGAAAAAAUAGAGGUUGUGGGUUUUUGCGUAUACUCCCCUCUAUGAGGUUUUGUGAGGUGUCUUAUAUACCCAUGAAAAAAAAUGAAGGUUUUUU
RNAcentral lists this long non-coding RNA (1342 nucleotides) under Capsicum annuum. RNAcentral's name for it is "long non-coding RNA (CANN_LNC019971)". Lineage: Eukaryota; Viridiplantae; Streptophyta; Magnoliopsida; Solanales; Solanaceae. The record is from RNAcentral.